CCGUGACGAGGAGACGGAAGACGUGCGGGGUUGCAUAUUGCGCAUUCACACCGCACGCGCAUCGGACUUGAAUCGGCAUGCUGCGGUGCCUCGGCCUGCUGCUCGCGAAGCCACAGGCGGCGCCGCGCCGAUCGACGAUACACGCCACGAGUAGCUGCAAGAAGGGCAAAGACCGCUUUGAUCUGUUCCACGCGUUGCAGAAGGACCGCCAGCGCAUCCGCCACAACCGCACCCUGCCGUGGCGUCAGAGGCUCGACCAGCUCCGUGUGUACCCAUGGAAACUCUUCCUUGCUUUUAUGAUGUUCUGGUCCUGGCUGGGGACGUACGCGGUACCGUACCUGAAAGGCAUGAGUGCCGGCGAGCUCCCCUCCGUUGGCCAGGGAAGGCUGAUUCCGGCAGAGGUGCGGGCCAAGGCCACACCCACGCCGCAGUUUGCGCACUUGAAGGAGCGAAAGUUGUAGGCAACGGAAUGCGCCUUCUCUGCUGGGCUUUGCCUCUGCCUCCUCCUUUCUGUGCUGCUGAACGCUCCUUUCUAGUGUACCGCCUCUUUUCUUUCCUUGCCGCAGCGCAUACG
RNAcentral lists this unclassified non-coding RNA (574 nucleotides) under Leishmania donovani. RNAcentral's name for it is "gene:LdHU3.31.0160(CDS-product:hypothetical_prote in_conserved)". Lineage: Eukaryota; Euglenozoa; Kinetoplastea; Trypanosomatida; Trypanosomatidae. The record is from RNAcentral.